AACCUAGCACACCUGCGGUGUGUACCUGCGGAGGGAUCAUUACUGAGUGAGGGCCUUCGGGCUCGACCUCCAACCCUUUGUGAACACAACUUGUUGCUUCGGGGGCGACCCUGCCGUUUCGACGGCGAGCGCCCCCGGAGGCCUUCAAACACUGCAUCUUUGCGUCGGAGUUUAAGUAAAUUAAACAAAACUUUUAACAACGGAUCU
RNAcentral lists this unclassified non-coding RNA (207 nucleotides) under soil metagenome. RNAcentral's name for it is "partial contains 5.8S ribosomal RNA, internal transcribed spacer 2, and large subunit ribosomal RNA". The record is from RNAcentral.